UGGGGAAUAUUGCGCAAUGGGGGGAACCCUGACGCAGCAACGCCGCGUGAAGGAAGAAGGCCUUCGGGUUGUAAACUUCUUUGAUUGGGGACGAAUAAUGACGGUACCCAAAAAACAAGCCACGGCUAACUACGUGCCAGCAGCCGCGGUAAUACGUAGGUGGCGAGCGUUGUCCGGAAUUACUGGGUGUAAAGGGCGUGUAGGCGGGGGAGCAAGUCAGAUGUGAAAUCCCGGGGCUCAACUCCGGAGUUGCAUCUGAAACUGUUUUUCUUGAGUGCUGGAGAGGAAAGCGGAAUUCCUAGUGUAGCGGUGAAAUGCGUAGAUAUUAGGAGGAACACCAGUGGCGAAGGCGGCUUUCUGGACAGUAACUAACGAUGAGGCGCGAAAGCGUGGGGAGCAAACAGG
Molecule: ribosomal RNA, 405 nt
Filed under: uncultured prokaryote
Also listed under: 1 other name
Description: bacterial SSU rRNA
Rfam family: Bacterial small subunit ribosomal RNA
Source: RNAcentral